Molecule: ribosomal RNA, 161 nt
Filed under: Strelitziana eucalypti
Lineage: Eukaryota; Fungi; Ascomycota; Eurotiomycetes; Chaetothyriales; Trichomeriaceae
Description: partial large subunit ribosomal RNA
Rfam family: Eukaryotic large subunit ribosomal RNA
Source: RNAcentral
CGGCAACAGCUCAAAUUUGAAAUCUGGUCCUCGGGCCCGAGUUGUAAUUUGUAGAGGAUGUUUCGGGCACCGUCGCGGUGUAAAUUUCUUGGAACAGAAUGUCAUAGAGGGUGAGAAUCCCGUCUGAAACCGCGAUAGGACCUAUGUGAAACUCCUUCGAC